GCGGCGUAAACAGCGGAAAAUGAGUCUAAAAAAAGAGUUUUUUCCAGAGGCAACAGAAAAAAUAUCAUGAACAUUGUUGUGUUCCCACAUGCACGUCAUCGUCUAAAUUCAACGGCGUUUUAAGCUACCACGGAUUUCCUAGCAAUGUUGAACUCAGAAAGCGGUGGCUGGUGAAUAUUCGUCGUGAUAAGUUUGUUGUCACAGGACACAGCAAAGUCUGUAGUUUGCACUUCACACCGGAGCAGAUCAUUCAGCCGAAAACACCGGAGGGGAAAAGGCAACUAAAGAAAGGAGCUGUCCCGUUAUUGUUCCAGUGGAAUGAUUACUCCAUUCCAUCACCAAGACUGAGCGUUUGGGACAGAGUAAGCAAACUUCAGCCUGAGCUGGCAUCAGCAGAAGAUGGGCAACAUAUGGACUACACUCCUGCAGCUGAUCAUGACUGAUCAUUUAUCUGUCCCAGAACCCGCUUUCGUGGACUCUGCAGUCGAAGAAAACACGAAAUUAAAAGAAGAAAUUGACUCAUUAAAGAAAGAGAUCCAGGAGCUGAAAAUUAUCUGUAAAUUUGGAUUGCAAAGAUUCGCCCACUCUGACGACGAUGUUUGAUUCUAUACACGAUUUCCCAGUUACCAUAACCUCAUGCUUUUUUGGAGAUUGGUUGAACCAUCGGUGCAUAAAAUGGUUCGUGCGUCGAGGGCCAAAGCUGCUGAAAAAUUUAAUGAAGCAGUAACAUCUGUCCGCCCCACACACACGAGACAAUCAUUGCAACCCAUCGAUGAGCUAGU
Molecule: long non-coding RNA, 782 nt
Organism: Misgurnus anguillicaudatus (oriental weatherfish)
Lineage: Eukaryota; Metazoa; Chordata; Actinopteri; Cypriniformes; Cobitidae
Source: RefSeq, a predicted model, not a curated record